This 301-nucleotide ribosomal RNA is filed under the name uncultured bacterium. Its description in RNAcentral is "partial 16S ribosomal RNA". It matches the Rfam family "Bacterial small subunit ribosomal RNA", at positions 509 to 809 of the family's 1533-position model. The record is from RNAcentral.
CAGUCGCCGCGGGAAUACGUAGGUGGCGAGCGUUGUCCGGAAUUAUUGGGCGUAAAGGGAGCGCAGGCGGACAUAUAGGUCCAUCUUAAAAGUGCGGGGCUCAACCCCGUGAGGGGAUGGAAACUGUAUGCCUUGAGUGCAGGAGAGGAAAGCGGAAUUCCCAGUGUAACGGUGAAAUGCGUAGAUAUUGGGAGGAACACCAGUGGCGAAGGCGGCUUUCUGGACUGUAACUGACGCUGAGGCUCGAAAGCCAGGGGAGCGAACGGGAUUAGAUACCCCCGUAGUCCCUGUCUCUUAUACA